GUCUUAAUUGGGCGUUAAGUUGCAGGGUAUAGACCCGAAACCCGGUGAUCUAGCCAUGGGCAGGUUGAAGGUUGGGUAACACUAACUGGAGGACCGAACCGACUAAUGUUGAAAAAUUAGCGGAUGACCUGUGGCUGGGGGUGAAAGGCCAAUCAAACCGGGAGAUAGCUGGUUCUCCCCGAAAGCUAUUUAGGUAGCGCCUCGUGAAUUCAUCUCCGGGGGUAGAGCACUGUUUCGGCUAGGGGGCCAUCCCGGCUUACCAACCCGAUGCAAACUGCGAAUACCGGAGAAUGUUAUCACGGGAGACACACGGCGGGUGCUAACGUCCGUCGUGAAGAGGGAAACAACCCAGACCGCCAGCUAAGGUCCCAAAGUCAUGGUUAAGUGGGAAACGAUGUGGGAAGGCCCAGACAGCCAGGAUGUUGGCUUAGAAGCAGCCAUCAUUUAAAGAAAGCGUAAUAGCUCACUGGUCGAGUCGGCCUGCGCGGAAGAUGUAACGGGGCUAAACCAUGCACCGAAGCUGCGGCAGCGACGCUUAUGCGUUGUUGGGUAGGGGAGCGUUCUGUAAGCCUG
Molecule: ribosomal RNA, 573 nt
Filed under: Salmonella enterica subsp. enterica
Lineage: Bacteria; Pseudomonadati; Pseudomonadota; Gammaproteobacteria; Enterobacterales; Enterobacteriaceae
Description: partial 23S ribosomal RNA
Rfam family: Bacterial large subunit ribosomal RNA
Source: RNAcentral